UAAAGUACCGCGGCUUGUCCGCGGGUCGGGGGGCCCCCUCGGGAGGCCCUGUCUGAACCCUAUGUCAUUGUCGCACCUCGCGUUUCCUCGGCGGGCUCGCCCGCCAACGAGGACCCCAUACCAAACCCAUUGCAGUAUUGCAGUACACGUCUCACAAACAAUCAAUCA
RNAcentral lists this unclassified non-coding RNA (168 nucleotides) under uncultured Lophiostoma. RNAcentral describes it as "sequence contains ITS1". Lineage: Eukaryota; Fungi; Ascomycota; Dothideomycetes; Pleosporales; Lophiostomataceae. The record is from RNAcentral.